Long non-coding RNA from Lineus longissimus, 410 nucleotides. RefSeq lists it as uncharacterized. The record is from RefSeq and is a predicted model, not a curated record. The transcript is spliced from 3 exons. Lineage: Eukaryota; Metazoa; Nemertea; Pilidiophora; Heteronemertea; Lineidae.
CCAACUUGCAUGAUCAAGGCAGUCAUCCACACGAACUUUCUCAAACGUGUGAGUUUGUAUUUCCGACUAAUUGACAAUUUGGAAAAGCAAGGCUAUAUCAGCACCCGAAUUCGUAGUAAAAACGUGAAGAUGCAACGACUCCCAUUAAUGCUAUUCGGCAUUUUGGUACUCCUGGUAAUCAGCCAAGUGUCGGCGGCAGAAGUAGAAGACGAUGAAAUAGACUAUGCUUUCGAAGCAUUCGUGAAAAGGCGCACCAACAAGCGUGGCUUCUGGGUUAAACCACUUAAACCGGACUUCAGUCUCUUGAAGAAGUGGAGAUAGAGGCUGAUUGGUGCUUCAUGUAGCCUCCAUCACGUCUUACGGAUGCGUCACGGUACAUGUAGAACAAGAAAUAAAGCAUUUUAACAAGA